This 301-nucleotide ribosomal RNA is filed under the name uncultured bacterium. Its description in RNAcentral is "partial 16S ribosomal RNA". It matches the Rfam family "Bacterial small subunit ribosomal RNA", at positions 509 to 807 of the family's 1533-position model. The record is from RNAcentral.
CAGUAGCCGCGGUAAUACGUAGGGUGCGAGCGUUAAUCGGAAUUACUGGGCGUAAAGCGUGCGCAGGCGGUUUUGUAAGACAGGCGUGAAAUCCCCGGGCUCAACCUGGGAAUGGCGCUUGUGACUGCAAAGCUAGAGUGCGGCAGAGGGGGAUGGAAUUCCGCGUGUAGCAGUGAAAUGCGUAGAUAUGCGGAGGAGCACCGAUGGCGAAGGCAAUCCCCUGGGCCUGCACUGACGCUCAUGCACGAAAGCGUGGGGAGCAAACAGGAUUAGAUACCCCAGUAGUCCCUGUCUCUUAUAC